This 538-nucleotide long non-coding RNA is filed under the name Chloebia gouldiae (Gouldian finch). RNAcentral describes it as "Erythrura gouldiae (Gouldian finch) lncRNA (ENSEGOG00005001645.1)". The record is from RNAcentral. Lineage: Eukaryota; Metazoa; Chordata; Aves; Passeriformes; Passeridae.
AUGAUGCUCCGCGGCACCCGGCGGGAUAGGGAGCCUUCUGCUGGCGGGACGGCGCACCGUGGGCAGGCAAGGAGCGCGCUGCUUCCCGGAGAUGGCGAGGAACAGUUCCAGAAAGACUCGAGAACCUUACAAAAGGAGCUCCAACAGACAUUCAGAGAGGAGAGCUAUCAUCAGGAGCCAUCACAGGAAAAGCAGUGCCAUUGUUACAGCCCACUCACUGGCCAUGCAGCCACUGUUUGUGCUAGCUGCAGCCUUUCUAAGUGUGGCAUAAACGGUGGAUAUCCUAUUACAAAUACCACACAAGCAGCACUGGUGCAGUUACAAGUUUUCAUCGUGCGUAUCUACUGUGGCUGUUGUCUCCUGAUGAUAAUAUGAGAUGAAGUAGCUGUCAAGACAUGUUGGGCAGACAUAUACAAAACUAAUGAUAUCUAAAGAUCCACAACAAAAAGGAAAAAUUUGGAAGGUCUUCAGUCAGCACCUAACAGCUGCAAAUUUUGCUUAGGAUGAAAUAAUGAACCCAUCUAAGGGUCUCUCUGUG